CGACUUUGUUUCCGCAGCUAAAUAUGCCAAAAUUAAAGAAAAAAUCACACAUAGGAUGGGGGUUAAUUUUGUUAUAAGUUCAUACGCCUUGGGUUAAUACGGUUAUCGUUAGCAGCUGUUUAAUACAACAAUUCUAAAGUUGCGUGUGUGUGUGUGUGUGUGUACGUGUAUGUGUUUUUGUUUUGGUUUGUGGCUUU
Long non-coding RNA from Drosophila navojoa, 197 nucleotides. RefSeq lists it as uncharacterized. The record is from RefSeq and is a predicted model, not a curated record. Lineage: Eukaryota; Metazoa; Arthropoda; Insecta; Diptera; Drosophilidae.